RNAcentral lists this ribosomal RNA (269 nucleotides) under uncultured soil bacterium. Its description in RNAcentral is "partial 16S ribosomal RNA". It matches the Rfam family "Bacterial small subunit ribosomal RNA", at positions 26 to 282 of the family's 1533-position model. The record is from RNAcentral.
AGAAUCAACGCUGGCGGCGUGCCUAACACAUGCAAGUCGUACGCGAAAGUCCCGCAAGGGAUGAGUAGAGUGGCAAACGGGUGAGUAACACGUGGGUGACCUGCCUUCGAGUGGGGGAUAACGUCCCGAAAGGGACGCUAAUACCGCAUGACAUCCUGCUUUUAGAAAAGCGGAGAUUAAAGCCGGGGAUCGCAAGACCUGGCGCUUGAAGAGGGGCCCGCGCCUGAUUAGCUAGUUGGUAGGGUAAUGGCCUACCAAGGCUACGAUCA